This 397-nucleotide ribosomal RNA is filed under the name uncultured bacterium. RNAcentral's name for it is "partial 16S ribosomal RNA". It matches the Rfam family "Bacterial small subunit ribosomal RNA", at positions 523 to 918 of the family's 1533-position model. The record is from RNAcentral.
AUACGUAGGUGGCAAGCGUUGUCCGGAUUUAUUGGGCGUAAAGCGAGCGCAGGCGGUUUCUUAAGUCUGAUGUGAAAGCCCCCGGCUCAACCGGGGAGGGUCAUUGGAAACUGGGAGACUUGAGUGCAGAAGAGGAGAGUGGAAUUCCAUGUGUAGCGGUGAAAUGCGUAGAUAUAUGGAGGAACACCAGUGGCGAAGGCGGCUCUCUGGUCUGUAACUGACGCUGAGGCUCGAAAGCGUGGGGAGCAAACAGGAUUAGAUACCCUGGUAGUCCACGCCGUAAACGAUGAGUGCUAAGUGUUGGAGGGUUUCCGCCCUUCAGUGCUGCAGCAAACGCAUUAAGCACUCCGCCUGGGGAGUACGACCGCAAGGUUGAAACUCAAAGGAAUUGACGGGG